Gavialis gangeticus (Gharial) is the source of this 658-nucleotide long non-coding RNA. RefSeq lists it as uncharacterized. Lineage: Eukaryota; Metazoa; Chordata; Crocodylia; Gavialidae. The record is from RefSeq and is a predicted model, not a curated record. The transcript is spliced from 3 exons.
AUGGGAGAGUUUAAUAGAACACAGAGAUGGUGAAUUAAAACAAACUACAAUCUGUGAGGUUGGGAAGUGCUUCUCGCUUCUCCACUGGCUCAUCAGCAGCUCUGGAUCCCCUUGCCAUCACUCUCCAGGUAAUUAAAGUGUUGAACUCAUUACCACCAGAUGCUGGGGGAGCUAACAGUCUAUCCAGAUUGAAAAAGAGAUUGGAAAAAUUCUUGCAGGAAAGGGGCAUUGAUAGCUGUUGGCAUGGGAGUUAGGAAUAUAGACUCUGAAUCAGAACUCCCUAGACCCUAAAUGCUGGAGGCUGCAAGUGGAAGAGGAAGCAUGGAAAAAACCUUGGUCAUACCCUGCUUACUCGCUCUUUCAGCAUCCACUCUCUGCCACUGUGAAUACUAGGAAAGAUGAACCUAUUGUCUGGUCCAGAAAAUGGUAGUUCUUAUGUGCUUAUAAUUCCAGAUAAAUGCUUUUCAGACUUCUAUAGGUUGCUUUGUAUUGUUUCUCUGUUCAUAUUGGGUUUUAUGCCACACACAUAUUGGGAUUUUUUCCCCACACAGAAAUGUCAUGAAUUCAAACUUAUUUUCAGCUCAAUAAACUUGUUUUAAAACACUAAUCCAUAUGCCCUCCCAUCUGCACAUGCCUCAGAAAAUGCUGGUUAUUGUUA